AUUGAACGCUGGCGGCAUGCCUUACACAUGCAAGUCGAACGGCAGCGGACCUUCGGGUGCCGGCGAGUGGCGAACGGGUGAGUAAUAUAUCGGAACGUACCUUUCAGUGGGGGAUAACGUAGCGAAAGUUACGCUAAUACCGCAUAUUCUGUGAGCAGGAAAGCAGGGGAUCGCAAGACCUUGCGCUGAUUGAGCGGCCGAUAUCAGAUUAGCUAGUUGGUGAGGUAAAGGCUCGCCAAGGCGACGAUCUGUAGCGGGUCUGAGAGGAUGAUCCGCCACACUGGAACUGAGACACGGUCCAGACUCCUACGGGAGGCAGCAGUGGGGAAUUUUGGACAAUGGGCGCAAGCCUGAUCCAGCAAUGCCGCGUGAGUGAUGAAGGCCUUAGGGUUGUAAAGCUCUUUCGGCCGGGAAGAAAUCGCAUGGGUUAAUACCCUGUGCGGAUGACGGUACCGGCAUAAGAAGCACCGGCUAACUACGUG
This 482-nucleotide ribosomal RNA is filed under the name uncultured bacterium. RNAcentral describes it as "bacterial SSU rRNA". It matches the Rfam family "Bacterial small subunit ribosomal RNA", at positions 30 to 507 of the family's 1533-position model. The record is from RNAcentral.